This 2703-nucleotide long non-coding RNA is filed under the name Malus domestica (apple). Its description in RNAcentral is "long non-coding RNA (MDOM_LNC019069)". The record is from RNAcentral. Lineage: Eukaryota; Viridiplantae; Streptophyta; Magnoliopsida; Rosales; Rosaceae.
AAUCCCCCUUUUACUUUCUUGUUUUAAAAUCUUUUGUUUACAUUUUUAACUUUGUUUCUUUUUGUUUUUGAGUUAGUUUAGAGGUUUUAGCAAGCCCUCCUAAUCCCCGGUUUAGAACGAUCCCUACUUACAUACUUUGCUACAAUUGUCAAAAAGAGGGUUUAAUUUGUGUGUCAAGUAAUUCUCGCAUCAUUGGGCAUCUACAGAGACACGUAAAAUCCCCAAGUCCAGUGAUGUGGUAAAAACUAACACACAAAUUAAACCCUAUUAAGAUAGUUGUAGUACACGUAAGUAGGGAUCGUUCUAGGCUGGAGAUUAGUUAGGGAUGCAAAUCAACACAAAUUAAACUUAAAAGUUGAAAACUAGACUCAAAUAACUCAAAACAAGCUAAACUGACUAAAAUAACACAAAACUAAGUUAAAUUGACUCAAAACAAGAACUAGAGGGUGAUUUGGACUAAAAAUUAAACUAAAAAGACUCAAAAUACUAAAUGGGGACUGGUUUGAACGAAUUUUAACUAAACUAACACGACACACUGGCGGGGGGUUUGUUUUGGACGAAAAUUGACUUAAAACUAAAAAGUUGCAGAACUAAGUAAAGGUUGCACGAAAUUAAGGUGACACAUAUGACACAUGACACAUAGAGGGUCCUUCUCCACACAUGACACAUAUGCAUACAAAUCGAUUUCCAAUUAUUCUUCCUAUAAACCAUGAAUGGCAAUGUCCUAAAUUAAUCGUGAGAAGCACAAAUUAACUGUAAGAUUUUCCUAAAUUCAUUGAAUUGGACUCAGCGGCGCAACCAAAUUAUUGUUAUCAAGUUCCCUACAUGAACUGCAUAAUAGAGAUACAUAUCAAAGAUCAUUAAGUUCUAUGAAAAUCAUAAGUAUUGGCAAGGUAUUCAUAACUAUGAACUGCAUGAUACUUCUGCCAGGAAUUUACUUAACAUGAUCGUGACUAGUGACUUUUACUACUUGUGAAUAUAAGUUCAUAAUGAUUAGGUGAAAUUCCCUUAUAUUCUAGCAUCAAAUUCAUGCAUGCAAACUAAGUAGGCCUCCUUAAUCAACACACAAGAACAAAUUAUCAAUCAAACAGAUAAGUAAAUUGCAUUCACGAUUCAUGGCUUUGAAUUCUCCUCUAACUAAAACGAUUUUAGUUCCACAUGUUCUUCAGAAUUGAAAACCAAAUUAAACUAAACAUUGGACUAAAACUCAGGAUAGAAAGAACCCAGAAACGCUCCAGCACUCCAAUGGCAGAUUUGGCACAAUCCUUGGGUGCAAGGGCACAACACAAAGGCUCUCCUUCUCCUUCAUAAGCCUCCAAACACCUUCAAAAACCUACGGCACUCAUGUAUAGUUUUCUCUCUUAUUUCUCUAUGGUGUGUUGUGCGAAAUUGUGGUCAGAAAAUAUGUAUUUAUAGGCUAGGGUUUCGGCACAAAAGUUGUGGAGGAGAAGGAUUACACAAUCCUAGGGGAAUAGGACUAGGGAAUUCGGCACAAAGCUUCUAGAAUGGGAUAUCUAGCAGAUUAACUAGGAGCUAAGUAUAAGAGGGUGCGGCACCACUUAGGAUCAGGAAUAGGGCUUCUAGAAAGGGGUAUUUAGGUGAUUUAAUGUGAAAUUGAUCCCCCCUUGUAGCUGGAAUUAAGUUAGGAAAAGAUUAUGAUAAGAUAAGGAUAGUUUGGAUAAGAUAAGGUUGGAUAAUGUUUUGGAUAAUGUUCCUUCCUUUUAGCUGAUUCCUUAUCUUCUUUGUCUUGACGUUAUUUUCUUCAUCUCUUCAGCAUAUUCCUAGCCUCUUGAACUUCAAAAACGUCCAUCCACCUUGCUCCAUGCAUGUGCUAUCCAUUUUUGGCCCAAAACUGCUCUAAAUUGCACUUUCUUGCCAACUUUGUCAUUUGAACCUGAAAACACACGAAAAUAGCUUAAAACACUCUAAUAAGCAGAAACUAGCUAUGUAAAUGCAAGAAAACAAGCUAACUAAGCCGUAUAAAUAUGCUCCUAUCAUCCAGUUCUGAUUUUUCACUCUUUUCAUUUUCUUUGUUCCUUGUAGAUUCGUGAAAAUGAUUGGGACUAUAGUGUCGAAGCUUUGAAAAUUCCAUGGAUUUACAUGGUUGCACUGCUCGAAAAUUUCCUCAUUAGUUGCUUGGACUUUUGAUUAGCAUAUAUUUCAAUUCUCACUCUUCUCGGAGAUCACAUCUACUUCAAGUCCCAGAUCCCUCUUCAUAAGAUCCCAAUACGUUUCUUUUCACCUCCAUUUCUCCAUUAUUAUUAUUUUUUUUCUGAUUUUGUUCCUUGGGUUUGAUUCUUUAGUUUGAUUUUACUGCUGGAUUUUUUGUUCUUUUGGGUUUAGUCUCACCUUUUUAUAAAGCCCAAUUGUAAGAUAGUUGCAUAGUUUUGUAUUUCAACUGUAUUAUGACAUGAGUUUGUAUCAAGUUUGUGAAUUUUGAUGUGGGUUUUUUUUUUUUUUUUUUUUUUUUUUUUUUUUUUUUUUUUUAAUUUGCUCAAUUGUGAGUUGAGGUUUUGCAUGUGCAGCUUCUUAUGUAUGUACCCUUUUUUAGCUGUAAAGCUACAUGAUUAAUCAAUUUUAGGUCUGUUGAUAAGCAGGUUUCUGCUUAUUUCUGUUUUCUUAUUGAUAAUUGGGUUUACGUUUGAUGCGAAAUAUAUAAGCACACAAAUUAAACCCUCUUUUUAUCAAUUGUAGCAAAGUACG